GCCGGGCAUGGUGGUGUGUGCCUGUAAUCCCAGCUACUCGGGAGGCUGAGGCAGGAGAAUCGCUUGAACCUAGGAAGUAGAGGUUGCAGUGAGCCGAGAUCAUACCACUGUAGUCCAGCCUGGGUGACAGAGUGAGACUCUGUCUCAA
Unclassified non-coding RNA from Macaca fascicularis (crab-eating macaque), 148 nucleotides. It matches the Rfam family "Metazoan signal recognition particle RNA". From Rfam's summary of the family: The signal recognition particle (SRP) is a universally conserved ribonucleoprotein. It is involved in the co-translational targeting of proteins to membranes. The eukaryotic SRP consists of a 300-nucleotide 7S RNA and six proteins: SRPs 72, 68, 54, 19, 14, and 9. The record is from Ensembl. Lineage: Eukaryota; Metazoa; Chordata; Mammalia; Primates; Cercopithecidae.